RNAcentral lists this signal recognition particle RNA (297 nucleotides) under Cebus imitator (Panamanian white-faced capuchin). RNAcentral describes it as "Metazoan signal recognition particle RNA (ENSCCAG00000014922.1)". It matches the Rfam family "Metazoan signal recognition particle RNA". From Rfam's summary of the family: The signal recognition particle (SRP) is a universally conserved ribonucleoprotein. It is involved in the co-translational targeting of proteins to membranes. The record is from Rfam by way of RNAcentral. Lineage: Eukaryota; Metazoa; Chordata; Mammalia; Primates; Cebidae.
AGGUGUGUGGUGGCACAUACCUGUGGUCCCAGUUAUUCAGCAAGCUGAGGCAGGAAGUUCACUUGAGCCCAAAAUUUUGGGCUAGAGUUCACUAUGCUAAUCAGAUGUCCAUCCUAAGUCUGGCACCAAUAUAGUGACCUCAUGUGACCAGGGGUCACCAGGUUGCCUGGGGAGGGGUAAACUGGCCCAAGUUAGAAACAGAGCAUAUUAAAACUCCCAUGAUGAUCAGUAGUGGGAUUGUGUCUCUGAAUGGCCACUGCAGUGCAGCCAGGACAACAUAGUGAGACCCUGUCUUCU